This 205-nucleotide long non-coding RNA is filed under the name Olea europaea (common olive). RNAcentral's name for it is "long non-coding RNA (OEUR_LNC000550)". Lineage: Eukaryota; Viridiplantae; Streptophyta; Magnoliopsida; Lamiales; Oleaceae. The record is from RNAcentral.
UUCAAGUUCAGACUCAACUCUAAAAGGCUUAAAAGAAAAUCAUGUUACGAAGAUCUGCAAAGUCCCUAAAGCAUUCACAAUACUAAGAAAAACAUAAGUACUCGUAAACUAAAACUGGAGAUACUUAGCUCCUAAUUAUUCUUACCCUCACCAAGAAAUAGUUUUGAGAUCAUGACACUGAAGAUGACAAGGAGCCAUAAAGAGG